GUCUCAAAGAUUAAGCCAUGCAUGUCUAAGUAUAAAUCAUUUAUACAGGUGAAACUGCGAAUGGCUCAUUAAAUCAGUUAUAGUUUAUUUGAUAGUACAAUUACUACUUGGAUAACCGUGGUAAUUCUAGAGCUAAUACAUGCUAAAAGUCUCGACUUCUGGAAGGGACGUAUUUAUUAGAUAAGAACCAAUAA
Molecule: ribosomal RNA, 194 nt
Filed under: Scutellospora sp. RAb2
Lineage: Eukaryota; Fungi; Glomeromycota; Glomeromycetes; Diversisporales; Gigasporaceae
Description: partial small subunit ribosomal RNA
Rfam family: Eukaryotic small subunit ribosomal RNA
Source: RNAcentral